GUAGGGGGCAAGCGUUGUCCGGAAUUAUUGGGCGUAAAGCGCGCGCAGGCGGCCCGCCAAGUCAGAUGUGAAAUCCCUCGGGCUCAACCGAGGACCUGCAUCUGAAACUGGUGGGCUAGAGUACAGGAGAGGGAAGUGGAAUUCCUAGUGUAGCGGUGAAAUGCGCAGAUACUAGGAAGAACACCGGUGGCGAAGGCGGCUUCCUGGACUGUUACUGACGCUGAGGUGCGAAAGCUAGGGGAGCAAACAGGAUUAGAUACCCUGGUAGUCCUAGCCGUAAACGAUGGUCACUAGGUGUAGGGGGUUAUCAACUCCCCCUGUGCCGGAGCUAACGCAUUAAGUGACCCGCCUGGGGAGUACGGCCGCAAGGCUA
RNAcentral lists this ribosomal RNA (373 nucleotides) under uncultured organism. RNAcentral describes it as "partial 16S ribosomal RNA". It matches the Rfam family "Bacterial small subunit ribosomal RNA", at positions 527 to 896 of the family's 1533-position model. The record is from RNAcentral.